This 317-nucleotide ribosomal RNA is filed under the name Blastocystis sp. subtype 1. Its description in RNAcentral is "SSU rRNA". It matches the Rfam family "Eukaryotic small subunit ribosomal RNA", at positions 570 to 897 of the family's 1831-position model. Lineage: Eukaryota; Bigyra; Opalinata; Blastocystidae. The record is from RNAcentral.
GCAGCCGCGGUAAUUCCAGCUCCAAUAGCGUAUAUUAACGUUGUUGCAGUUAAAAAGCUCGUAGUUGAAGUGUGGGUGAUCGCUGUUGUGAGACUUCGGUCUCUCGACAGUAAGUCACCCCCUUCCAGUAUCCAGUAGUGGGUAUUCAGUUACUUACUACUGUGUGUUGGUCCUUUACUGUGAGAAAAUUAGAGUGUUCAAAGCAGGCGUUUGCUUGAAUAGAUUAGCAUGGAAUAAUAAUUGAAGGCUUUCGUGUUCGAUUUGAUUGGUUUGUUCAUGGAAGCAAGGUUAAAAGGAACAGUUGGGGGUAUUCAUAU